GAUGAACGCUGGCGGCGUGCCUAAUACAUGCAAGUCGAGCGAACGGACGAGAAGCUUGCUUUUCUGAUGUUAGCGGCGGACGGGUGGGUAACACGUGGAUAACCUACCUAUAAGACUGGGAUAACUUCGGGAAACCGGAGCUAAUACCGGAUAAUAUUUUGAACCGCAUGGUUCAAAAGUGAAAGACGGUCUUGCUGUCACUUAUAGAUGGAUCCGCGCUGCAUUAGCUAGUUGGUAAGGUAACGGCUUACCAAGGCAACGAUGCAUAGCCGACCUGAGAGGGUGAUCGGCCACACUGGAACUGAGACACGGUCCAGACUCCUACGGGAGGCAGCAGUAGGGAAUCUUCCGCAAAGGGCGAAAGCCUGACGGAGCAACGCCGCGUGAGUGAUGAAGGUCUUAGGAUCGUAAAACUCUGUUAUUAGGGAAGAACAUAUGUGUAAGUAACUGUGCACAUCUUGACGGUACCUAAUCAGAAAGCCACGGCUAACUACGUG
This 497-nucleotide ribosomal RNA is filed under the name uncultured bacterium. Its description in RNAcentral is "partial 16S ribosomal RNA". It matches the Rfam family "Bacterial small subunit ribosomal RNA", at positions 28 to 507 of the family's 1533-position model. The record is from RNAcentral.